Non-coding RNA from Cynocephalus volans (Philippine flying lemur), 74 nucleotides. NCBI's taxonomy places the organism in Eukaryota, Metazoa, Chordata, Mammalia, Dermoptera, Cynocephalidae. The record is from the annotation of a RefSeq genome assembly.
GGCUGGUUAGCUCAACUGGUUAGAGUGUGGGGCUGAUAACCCCAAGGUCCAGGAUUCGAUCCCUGUAUUGGCCA